ACCUUCCUCUGUCAUGACCCUGGUGGGCCUCCAGAUUCCGGAGCUCCCCGCAGUCACCUGUCUGGACUGCCACUUCCCCCCUCAGGGGAUCCUCCUGGGUGCCCACGUGAGCCCAGAGAGGCAGCAUCUCCUCCAUUUGGGUUGCUGCCUCGGACCAGCCGCUGCGACGGGUGCCCACCA
Molecule: long non-coding RNA, 180 nt
Organism: Oxyura jamaicensis (ruddy duck)
Lineage: Eukaryota; Metazoa; Chordata; Aves; Anseriformes; Anatidae
Exons: 3
Source: RefSeq, a predicted model, not a curated record